UUAAGAGCUUGCUCUUAUGAUUAGUGGCGCACGGGUGAGGUAAUAUAUAGGGUAAUGUACCUCUUAGUCUGGGGAUAGCCACUGGAAACGGUGAUUAAUACCGGAUACUCCUUUUCAUUUCAAGGAUGAAUCGGGAAAGUUUUCGCUAAGAGAUCGGCCUAUAUCCUAUCAGCUAGUUGGUGAGGGUAAAUGGCUCACCAAGGCAAUGACAGGUAGCGGGUUUGAGAGGAUGAUCCGCCACACUGGUACUGAGACACGGACCAGGCUCC
This 269-nucleotide ribosomal RNA is filed under the name unidentified marine bacterioplankton. RNAcentral describes it as "partial 16S ribosomal RNA". It matches the Rfam family "Bacterial small subunit ribosomal RNA", at positions 72 to 339 of the family's 1533-position model. The record is from RNAcentral.